RNAcentral lists this long non-coding RNA (269 nucleotides) under Coffea arabica (coffee). RNAcentral's name for it is "long non-coding RNA (CARA_LNC005544)". Lineage: Eukaryota; Viridiplantae; Streptophyta; Magnoliopsida; Gentianales; Rubiaceae. The record is from RNAcentral.
UAGUGGCGGCUCCGGCAGCUGCCGCCGUGGUUGAAUCGUUUUAAGUUCUUAACAGAGCCAUCAGUAAGAUACCGCUCUGGAAGAGCCAGAAUUCUAACCUUGUGUCCGGACCUGAGACCAUUGAGAUACCGCUCUGGAAGAGUUAGAAUUCUAACCUUUGUGUCCGGACCCCUGAGACCUGAGACCUGAGUCUGCUGCUAUGUUUAUUAUGAUUAGUGUUUAAUUAUAUGUCUAAGGUAACGGUGAAAGGAGGCUAUGAUGCACUAAUA